ACGUUGCGACGGCGGCGGACCGGGAAGUUCAGAGGCCGGUUCACACCCCCAAAUCGUCGGUUCCGACAUGCGGCCCGGGCGGAUGACCCCGAGCGGCUGCAGUGGCGGAAUUUUGCGCGAAAUUUGGGUCGCUCAAGCGGCAUUUCGAGCUGGCGUAAAGAGCCUGUUAAUACUAUAUUUAGU
This 183-nucleotide small RNA is filed under the name Sinorhizobium meliloti 2011. Its description in RNAcentral is "putative ncRNA". Lineage: Bacteria; Pseudomonadati; Pseudomonadota; Alphaproteobacteria; Hyphomicrobiales; Rhizobiaceae. The record is from RNAcentral.